GGCCGGACACUCACCGGAAUCACGCCUGCACUGCCAAGGGGCGUUUUUCCGGCACCUCGCCUUGCCUGAGCGCCUAGGCGCAAGAAGCGAGCGCUUUUAAUAACUAUGAGUGAUAGUAUGUCUAUAUCCCAAAUUAGGAUGAAUCGAUCAUGUUUCAUCAAGUUGUGUGACAUGCUUAAAGAAUUUGGAGAAUUAAGAUCAAGUAAGAAUUAAGAAUAUGGAUAUUGAUGAGCAAGUAGCCAUCUUCCUUCACAUUAUAACUCAUAAUGUUUAAGAAUAGGGUCAUCGUAUGCCGUUUUCAUCGUUCGGAAGAAACCAUUAGUAGAUGUGUUUCUCGGGUUUGCAAUGCGGUGAUUAGAUUGCAUUCACGUUUGCUUAAGAGACCCGAGCCUAUUCCCGAAUAUUCUACUGAUCAAAGGUGUAAUCAUUAUAAUUUUUAAUGUUAUACUUAUGUUAGGAUUUAUAAAUAUAUAAUAACAAUUUUUGUAUAUAUAUAUAUAUAUUUUUGUUUUAGAAUUGUUUAGGAGCUUUAGAUGGAACAUACAUAAAGUGCUUAGUACCGAGUGAAGAGAAACCUAAAUAUAGAACAAGAAAGGGAGAGAUUGCUACAAAUGUGUUAGGUGUGUGUUCGCCGGAUAUGCAAUUUGUUUUUGUGUUACCGGGUUGGGAAGGGUCGGCGGCCGAUGGUAGAGUCCUUCGAGAUGCUCUUGAUAGGCCACAUGGAUUGAAAGUUUCAAGGCCGGGUUAUUAUUUGGUAGACGCAGAUACACAAAUGGAGAAGGUUUUCUCGCCCCUUAUAGAGGUCAAAGAUAUCAUUUAAAUGAUUGGUGUGAUGGACAUCAACCCACUACCCCAAAGGAGUUAUUUAACAUGAGACAUUCGUCUGCAAGAAAUGUUAUCGAAAGAUGUUUUGGUAUUUUGAAAGCAGGGUGGGGAAUUUUGAAAGACCACUCAUACUAUACCAUUGACCAAAAAAAUAGGAUGAUAAUGGCAUGUUGUCUUCUUCAUAAUUUUAUAAGAAGAGAGAUGCCGGUUGAUCCAUUUGAGACGGGAGUUUUGCUAGAUGAAGGAUUUGGAGAUGGACAUGGAGAUGGGGAUGGGGAUGGGGAUAGAGAUAGAGAUGGGGAUGAGGAUAAUAUAACUUAUAUUGAGACUUCAAAUGAGUGGACAACGUUUAGAAACAAUCUAGCCCAAAGCAUGUUUGACGCUUGGAAUGUUUGAGGUGCCUAUCAGUGAUUAUAUCUGUUUGGAAUCAAUACAACACUAGUUGUAAAUCAUCAAACCAAAAGCUUCAUCUUCAUCUUUUGAGUUUUCUUAACUUUUGCAAGUUCAAGCACCUAAUCAAUAGGUGUUUGGAUCAAAACAAUCAAACCACUGUGAUCCGGAUUGAUUUUGGGAUCUACAAAAUGUCUUCCGUAUUAUGAAGAAUUGUGAAUUAUUUUUGGAAAAGAUCGAGUUCAAGGCAAUAGAGCCAAAAGCGUGGUCGAGAUGGAACAAGAGGUGAACGUGGAAGAACAAGAGCACCAAAUGGAUGAUGAUUUUGGUGAACAUAGCCAUAAUGAGAUACAAAUUCUAGUUGUAUGUUUGAGUUAACUUUUAGUCGCAUGUUUGAACUACUUGUAGUCGUAUGUUAAACAACUUUUAAUUGUACGUUUGAACUUUCGGUUAGUAUAAUAUGUUUAUAAGACAUAUGUUUGGUAAUAUGUUCAUUUUUAAUUUAUUUUGGUUGGAUACUUUGUAUAACUUUAGUGAAGAUUAUUUAAGAUUUUUUUU
Long non-coding RNA from Helianthus annuus (common sunflower), 1773 nucleotides. RefSeq lists it as uncharacterized. The transcript has 3 exons. The record is from RefSeq and is a predicted model, not a curated record. Lineage: Eukaryota; Viridiplantae; Streptophyta; Magnoliopsida; Asterales; Asteraceae.